This 468-nucleotide ribosomal RNA is filed under the name uncultured bacterium. RNAcentral's name for it is "partial 16S ribosomal RNA". It matches the Rfam family "Bacterial small subunit ribosomal RNA", at positions 28 to 507 of the family's 1533-position model. The record is from RNAcentral.
GACGAACGCUGGCGGCGUGCUUAACACAUGCAAGUCGAACGGAAAGGCCCUGCUUUUGUGGGGCGCUCGAGUGGCGAACGGGUGAGUAACACGUGAGUAACCUGCCCUUGACCUUGGGAUAACUUCAGGAAACUGGGGCUAAUACCGGAUAGGAGCUCCUGCUGCAUGGUGGUGGUUGGUAAUUUUCGGGGGUUGGGGAUGGUCUCGCGGCUUAGUAGCUUGUUGGUGGGGUAGCGGCUUACCAAGGCUUUGACGGGUAGCCGGCCUGAGAGGGUGACCGGCCACAUUGGGACUGAGAUGCGGCCCAGACUCCAACGGGAGGCAGCAGUGGGGAAUGUUGCACAAUGGGCGGAGGCCUGAUGCGGCAACGCCGCGUGCGGGAUGACGGCCUUCGGGUGGUAAACCGCUUUCGCCUGUGACGAAGCGUGAGUGACGGUAAUGGGUAAAGAAGCACCGGCUAACUACGUG